Long non-coding RNA from Olea europaea var. sylvestris, 300 nucleotides. RefSeq lists it as uncharacterized. The transcript is spliced from 2 exons. The record is from RefSeq and is a predicted model, not a curated record. Lineage: Eukaryota; Viridiplantae; Streptophyta; Magnoliopsida; Lamiales; Oleaceae.
GUUAAAUGAAGAGCUAUCAACCUGGUCAUACUAUAAAGAAGGAAAGAGUAAACUAUUAUAUUGCAUAACAUCAUGACAAGGAAGAUGCUUUUUGAUGGGAAGCUAGGCACUGCUGGUGGGUAGGAGACUUAAAAGGACUUUGAUUUGUUUGCGAUUGAAGAUGGCAUUGGUGAAGUUCGUUCCUCACAAUUUCCUAGUCUAGAACUCAUUUUUCACUUAGUCUAUACACCGUUUGUACUAAAAGUCUAGGAUACAUUUGUAACUAAGAUAUUAAGGUGCAUGACACAUUUUGUGGUUAAA